CAGCAGCCGCGGGAAUACAGAGGGUGCGAGCGUUAAUCGGAUUUACUGGGCGUAAAGCGUGCGUAGGCGGCUUCUUAAGUCGGAUGUGAAAUCCCUGAGCUUAACUUAGGAAUUGCAUUCGAUACUGGGAAGCUUGAGUAUGGGAGAGGAUGGUAGAAUUCCAGGUGUAGCGGUGAAAUGCGUAGAGAUCUGGAGGAAUACCGAUGGCGAAGGCAGCCAUCUGGCCUAAUACUGACGCUGAGGUACGAAAGCAUGGGGAGCAAACAGGAUUAGAGACCCCUGUAGUCCCUGUCUCUUAUAC
This 301-nucleotide ribosomal RNA is filed under the name uncultured bacterium. RNAcentral describes it as "partial 16S ribosomal RNA". It matches the Rfam family "Bacterial small subunit ribosomal RNA", at positions 509 to 807 of the family's 1533-position model. The record is from RNAcentral.